AGAGUUUGAUCAUGGCUCAGGACGAACGCUGGCGGCGUGCCUAAUACAUGCAAGUCGAGCGGACCGAAGGGAGCUUGCUCCUUUAGGUUAGCGGCGGACGGGUGAGUAACACGUGGGCAACCUGCCCUGCAGACUGGGAUAACUUCGGGAAACCGGAGCUAAUACCGGAUAACACCGAAAACCGCAUGGUUUUCGGUUGAAAGGCGGCWUUAGCUGUCACUGCAGGAUGGGCCCGCGGCGCAUUAGCUAGUUGGUGAGGUAACGGCUCACCAAGGCGACGAUGCGUAGCCGACCUGAGAGGGUGACCGGCCACACUGGGACUGAGACACGGCCCAGACUCCUACGGGAGGCAGCAGUAGGGAAUCUUCCGCAAUGGACGAAAGUCUGACGGAGCAACGCCGCGUGAGCGAAGAAGGUCUUCGGAUCGUAAAGCUCUGUUGUCAGGGAAGAACAAGUACCGUUCGAACAGGGCGGUACCUUGACGGUACCUGACGAGGAAGCCACGGCUAACUACGUGCCAGCCGCCGCGGUAAUWC
This 536-nucleotide ribosomal RNA is filed under the name Geobacillus sp. enrichment culture clone D_8m3_OTU3. RNAcentral describes it as "bacterial SSU rRNA". It matches the Rfam family "Bacterial small subunit ribosomal RNA", at positions 8 to 526 of the family's 1533-position model. Lineage: Bacteria; Bacillati; Bacillota; Bacilli; Caryophanales; Anoxybacillaceae. The record is from RNAcentral.